Daktulosphaira vitifoliae (grape phylloxera) is the source of this 415-nucleotide long non-coding RNA. RefSeq lists it as uncharacterized. The record is from RefSeq and is a predicted model, not a curated record. The transcript is spliced from 8 exons. Lineage: Eukaryota; Metazoa; Arthropoda; Insecta; Hemiptera; Phylloxeridae.
CUCUAACAACUUUUAAUUUCUAAUUUAAUCAUAAUUAUUAGUAUCAAAAUUUGCAGUAUUCAGAACUGCUAAUAAGCCAUUUUUUUCUGCCAACUUUGGAUAGUAUUAAUAAUUAUCCAGUAUUGGCAGAUAUUUCUAAGAUACAAGAAUCACGUCUAAGAGAAUCCAAAAAAAACUUAUUCAUAAAAAAAUAUACACGUACAAGCUAUACCCACCAGACAUCAGUUUGGGUCUUAAAAUACGAUCCGUUAUAAAGAUAUAAUAUAUAGAACAAGGAAUGAGAAAAAAAUGUUCAAUAUUUUAUUUUCCAAUCAUAAAUACUAUUUAUAAUACAAUAUUUAUUCAAGAGAGACUUUUGCGUCGAGUAUUAUUACAUUCUGAAGACGAAGUAAUAAAAAGUUUCAAUAAUAACAAA